GAUGAAGAACGCAGCGAAAUGCGAUAAGUAAUGCGAAUUGCAGAUCUCAGUGAGUCAUCGAAUCUUUGAACGCACAUUGCGCCCGCUGGUAUUCCGGCGGGCAUGCCUGUUCGAGCGUCAUUUCAACCCUCAAGCCCCCGGGUUUGGUGUUGGGGAUCGGCUCUGCCCUCUGGGCGGUGCCGCCCCCGAAAUACAUUGGCGGUCUCGCUGCAGCCUCCAUUGCGUAGUAGCUAACACCUCGCAACUGGAACGCGGCGCGGCCAUGCCGUAAAACCCCAACUUCUGAAUGUUGACCUCGGAUCAGGUAGGAAUACCCGCUGAACUUAAGCAUAUCAAUAAGCGGAGGA
RNAcentral lists this unclassified non-coding RNA (347 nucleotides) under soil metagenome. Its description in RNAcentral is "partial contains 5.8S ribosomal RNA, internal transcribed spacer 2, and large subunit ribosomal RNA". The stretch from base 1 to 120 matches the Rfam family "5.8S ribosomal RNA", at positions 35 to 154 of the family's 154-position model. The record is from RNAcentral.